This 464-nucleotide ribosomal RNA is filed under the name Streptococcus parasanguinis. RNAcentral's name for it is "bacterial SSU rRNA". It matches the Rfam family "Bacterial small subunit ribosomal RNA", at positions 28 to 474 of the family's 1533-position model. Lineage: Bacteria; Bacillati; Bacillota; Bacilli; Lactobacillales; Streptococcaceae. The record is from RNAcentral.
GAUGAACGCGGGCGGCGUGCUUAAUACAUGCAAGUAGAACGCUGAAGCUUGGUGCUUGCACCGAGCGGAUGAGUUGCGAACGGGUGAGUAACGCGUAGGUAACCUGCCUCUUAGCGGGGGAUAACUAUUGGAAACGAUAGCUAAUACCGCAUAAAAGUCGAUAUCGCAUGAUGUUGAUUUGAAAGGUGCAAUUGCAUCACUAAGAGAUGGACCUGCGUUGUAUUAGCUAGUUGGUGAGGUAACGGCUCACCAAGGCGACGAUACAUAGCCGACCUGAGAGGGUGAUCGGCCACACUGGGACUGAGACACGGCCCAGACUCCUACGGGAGGCAGCAGUAGGGAAUCUUCGGCAAUGGGGGCAACCCUGACCGAGCAACGCCGCGUGAGUGAAGAAGGUUUUCGGAUCGUAAAGCUCUGUUGUAAGAGAAGAACGAGUGUGAGAGUGGAAAGUUCACACUGUGACG